RNAcentral lists this ribosomal RNA (254 nucleotides) under uncultured bacterium. RNAcentral's name for it is "partial 16S ribosomal RNA". It matches the Rfam family "Bacterial small subunit ribosomal RNA", at positions 102 to 353 of the family's 1533-position model. The record is from RNAcentral.
ACGGGUGAGUAACGCGUGGGUAACCUGCCUUAUACAGGGGGAGUAACAGUUAGAAAUGACUGCUAAUACCGCAUAAGCGCACAGGAUUGCAUGAUCUGGUGUGAAAAACUCCGGUGGUAUAAGAUGGACCCGCGUCUGAUUAGCUGGUUGGUGAGGUAACGGCCCACCAAGGCGACGAUCAGUAGCCGACCUGAGAGGGUGACCGGCCACAUUGGGACUGAGACACGGCCCAAACUCCUACGGGAGGCAGCAUG